UACAGGGGUCUCAAGCGUUGUUCGGAUUCAUUGGGCGUAAAGGGUGCGUAGGUGGCCUGGUAAGUCGGAUGUGAAAUCCCGGGGCUCAACCCCGGAACUGCAUUCGAUACUGCUGCGCUAGAGUACUGGAGAGGAGAUUGGAAUUUACGGUGUAGCAGUGAAAUGCGUAGAUAUCGUAAGGAAGACCAGUGGCGAAGGCGGAUCUCUGGACAGUUACUGACACUGAGGCACGAAGGCCAGGGGAGCAAACGGG
Molecule: ribosomal RNA, 253 nt
Filed under: uncultured bacterium
Lineage: Bacteria
Description: partial 16S ribosomal RNA
Rfam family: Bacterial small subunit ribosomal RNA
Source: RNAcentral